CAAAGUGAAGAUUCAGUUGCUUUGUAAAGAUGAGUGUAAUUGUGAUAUUCAUGAAUUUGGUAAAAGAGUUUGUAUAUAUGGGAAAUAUCAGCUUCAUUUGCAAGACGAACUCUAGCAUAAACUUUUUCAGUAAUUGUGAGGUUUUUGUUAUUAGUUGUAGCCAUGGUAAGAAGUUUGGUUGUUUUUUGUUUGAAGGAAAAGAAUAUAAAUUUUUUCAGUAAUUGUGAGGUUUUUGUUAUUAGUUGCAGCCAUGGUAAUAAGAUUAGUUCUUUUUUUUUGGUUGAAGGAAAAGUUGAAAUAUUUUAUGAGAAGAAGGAGUUUUGGUUAUGAGAUGAUUGAAGAGGUUUUGGUUAUUUAUAGAGGAAAAUUUGUGUUUUAUUCUUUUAUUUAUUGGUGGGGUUGGUGUAAAAAAAACUAAAGUAUAUAAUAUGGAGCUUAUUCAAGAUGUGUAAUUUAUCAACAUUAUAAUA
Molecule: long non-coding RNA, 470 nt
Filed under: Nicotiana benthamiana
Lineage: Eukaryota; Viridiplantae; Streptophyta; Magnoliopsida; Solanales; Solanaceae
Description: long non-coding RNA (NBEN_LNC016700)
Source: RNAcentral